GUGGUAUCCUGUCUGAAUAUGGGGGGACCAUCCUCCAAGGCUAAAUACUCCUGACUGACCGAUAGUGAACCAGUACCGUGAGGGAAAGGCGAAAAGAACCCCGGCGAGGGGAGUGAAAAAGAACCUGAAACCGUGUACGUACAAGCAGUGGGAGCACGCUUAGGCGUGUGACUGCGUACCUUUUGUAUAAUGGGUCAGCGACUUAUAUUCUGUAGCAAGGUUAACCGAAUAGGGGAGCCGAAGGGAAACCGAGUCUUAACUGGGCGUUAAGUUGCAGGGUAUAGACCCGAAACCCGGUGAUCUAGCCAUGGGCAGGUUGAAGGUUGGGUAACACUAACUGGAGGACCGAACCGACUAAUGUUGAAAAAUUAGCGGAUGACUUGUGGCUGGGGGUGAAAGGCCAAUCAAACCGGGAGAUAGCUGGUUCUCCCCGAAAGCUAUUUAGGUAGCGCCUCGUGAAUUCAUCUCCGGGGGUAGAGCACUGUUUCGGCAAGGGGGUCAUCCCGACUUACCAACCCGAUGCAAACUGCGAAUACCGGAGAAUGUUAUCACGGGAGACACACGGCGGGUGCUAACGUCCGUCGUGAAGAGGGAAACAACCCAGACCGCCAGCUAAGGUCCCAAAGUCAUGGUUAAGUGGGAAACGAUGUGGGAAGGCCCAGACAGCCAGGAUGUUGGCUUAGAAGCAGCCAUCAUUUAAAGAAAGCGUAAUAGCUCACUGGUCGAGUCGGCCUGCGCGGAAGAUGUAACGGGGCUAAACCAUGCACCGAAGCUGCGGCAGCGACGCUUAUGCGUUGUUGGGUAGGGGAGCGUUCUGUAAGCCUGCGAAGGUGUGCUGUGAGGCAUGCUGGAGGUAUCAGAAGUGCGAAUGCUGACAUAAGUAACGAUAAAGCGGGUGAAAAGCCCGCUCGCCGGAAGACCAAGGGUUCCUGUCCAACGUUAAUCGGGGCAGGGUGAGUCGACCCCUAAGGCGAGGCCGAAAGGCGUAGUCGAUGGGAAACAGGUUAAUAUUCCUGUACUUGGUGUUACUGCGAAGGGGGGACGGAGAAGGCUAUGUUGGCCGGGCGACGGUUGUCCCGGUUUAAGCGUGUAGGCUGGUUUUCCAGGCAAAUCCGGAAAAUCAAGGCUGAGGCGUGAUGACGAGGCACUACGGUGCUGAAGCAACAAAUGCCCUGCUUCCAGGAAAAGCCUCUAAGCAUCAGGUAACAUCAAAUCGUACCCCAAACCGACACAGGUGGUCAGGUAGAGAAUACCAAGGCGCUUGAGAGAACUCGGGUGAAGGAACUAGGCAAAAUGGUGCCGUAACU
RNAcentral lists this ribosomal RNA (1307 nucleotides) under Escherichia coli. Its description in RNAcentral is "partial 23S ribosomal RNA". It matches the Rfam family "Bacterial large subunit ribosomal RNA", at positions 426 to 1735 of the family's 2925-position model. Lineage: Bacteria; Pseudomonadati; Pseudomonadota; Gammaproteobacteria; Enterobacterales; Enterobacteriaceae. The record is from RNAcentral.